GAACUACUCCCUUCGUCCGAAAAAACUUGUCUCAAACUUGUGCCUUAAAUGGAUGUAUCUAGCAGUAACUUGAUGCUAAAUACAUUCAUUUGAGGGACAAGCCUUUUCGGACGGAGGGAGUAUUUU
Molecule: non-coding RNA, 126 nt
Organism: Triticum aestivum (bread wheat)
Lineage: Eukaryota; Viridiplantae; Streptophyta; Magnoliopsida; Poales; Poaceae
Source: Rfam